GGAUUCAUAGCUCAGCGGUAGAGCAAUCGGCUGCAGUCCGAUCGGUCCCCGGUUCAAUUCCGGGUGGGUCCU
RNAcentral lists this transfer RNA (72 nucleotides) under Trypanosoma vivax Y486. It matches the Rfam family "tRNA". Rfam says of the family: Transfer RNA (tRNA) molecules are approximately 80 nucleotides in length. The record is from Rfam by way of RNAcentral. Lineage: Eukaryota; Euglenozoa; Kinetoplastea; Trypanosomatida; Trypanosomatidae.